GGAGCUUGCUCCUUGAUUCAGCGGCGGACGGGUGAGUAAUACCUAGGAAUCUGCCUGAUAGUGGGGGACAACGUUUCGAAAGGAACGCUAAUACCGCAUACGUCCUACGGGAGAAAGCAGGGGACCUUCGGGCCUUGCGCUAUCAGAUGAGCCUAGGUCGGAUUAGCUAGUUGGUGAGGUAAUGGCUCACCAAGGCGACGAUCCGUAACUGGUCUGAGAGGAUGAUCAGUCACACUGGAACUGAGACACGGUCCAGACUCCUACGGGAGGCAGCAGUGGGGAAUAUUGGACAAUGGGCGAAAGCCUGAUCCAGCCAUGCCGCGUGUGUGAAGAAGGUCUUCGGAUUGUAAAGCACUUUAAGUUGGGAGGAAGGGCAGUAAGCUAAUACCUUGCUGUUUUGACGUUACCGACAGAAUAAGCACCGGCUAACUCUGUGCCAGCAGCCGCGGUAAUACAGAGGGUGCAAGCGUUAAUCGGAAUUACUGGGCGUAAAGCGCGCGUAGGUGGUUCGUUAAGUUGGAUGUGAAAUCCCCGGGCUCAACCUGGGAACUGCAUCCAAAACUGGCGAGC
RNAcentral lists this ribosomal RNA (570 nucleotides) under bacterium RBM-B9. RNAcentral's name for it is "bacterial SSU rRNA". It matches the Rfam family "Bacterial small subunit ribosomal RNA", at positions 75 to 641 of the family's 1533-position model. The record is from RNAcentral.